UAUGCGAGUAAGUCCACAAUUAUUUAAGUUAAUGUAAGAAAUUAGGUAACCCUCAUAAAACGUCUAACUCUCAUAGUUAAAUAAAUGGAGUGAUUUUAUAAACGAGGCUCAACUGGUUUCAAAUUUAAUUUCAGAAAUGCUGCAAGUAUCUUAAUACGGGAUGAAUUUGCACAUUUGCGACUGGAAUGUUUGGUAGAAAUAAUUCAGCAAGAUCGCCUUCGUGUCUAGGACGAGAUGGAAGUUUUUGACGCGGUGUAUCGUUGGGGAUCGGAGGAAUGUACUCGACAAAAACUGGACCCUACGGAUACUAAAGAACUGAGAAAAAUCCUUAAAAAGCCACUGCAACAUGUCAGAUUUCCAUUAAUGGAUUCUGCCAAGUUUGCACUUCAUGUCGCGACGAAGAACAUUUUGGACAUGGAGGAGUCCAUGGCUCUACUUAUUUGCUUUCUUGUUCCUCCAGAACAAAGGUAUUAGAUAUAUAUAUAUACACCGUGUUACGAACGAAUCCAGAGCCGGAUUUGAUCGAUCGGAUCACUGUUACAUUUAUAAGUAUGUCCAUACUUAGGACUUUAGUUAUCAUUGUAGUCACAAGAUGGCAAAUUCAUCGUUUGACCCCUAAUUGCAUAAUCUGUCCGUUUAAAUAUUUCUUAACAUGCUAAACCUGACAUGAUCCUCAACAGGCGACAAAAGUUAGAUUAUCACCAGUAUAUUUUCCAAUAGGGGUGCAAUCCCACAGGGUAGGUUUUCGUCGACUCCAAGGGCACAACUUUUGUCAAAGCUAGUUACAGAUAAUGAGGACCCGAACUCCUCAGAUUGAACACCUGAGGAACCAAUAAAUUUUGGAAGCAGCAACUUUGUGGCUCAGCAACAAACAGAAAUUCAUCCAUUGGGAACCUAUUCUCCAAUGUUGAAAACGCAGAAACACCUCCCAACACAACUGACAAAACAAUGGGUUACAUCAAAUUUUAGGAACACUUCAAAUAAAAAUAACUAAAAUUUACUGAAAAUUACUAAAAUUAAAAUAAUGUUAAUUUUU
Long non-coding RNA from Folsomia candida, 1036 nucleotides. RefSeq lists it as uncharacterized. The transcript is spliced from 3 exons. NCBI's taxonomy places the organism in Eukaryota, Metazoa, Arthropoda, Collembola, Entomobryomorpha, Isotomidae. The record is from RefSeq and is a predicted model, not a curated record.